UACAGAGGGGGUAAGCGUUGUUCGGAAUUACUGGGCGUAAAGGGCGCGUAGGCGGCCUACUAAGUCGAACGUGAAAUCCCCGGGCUUAACCCGGGAACUGCGUCCGAUACUGGUUGGGCUUGAAUCCGGGAGAGGGAUGUGGAAUUCCAGGUGUAGCGGUGAAAUGCGUAGAUAUCUGGAGGAACACCGGUGGCGAAGGCGGCAUCCUGGACCGGUAUUGACGCUGAGGCGCGAAAGCCAGGGGAGCAAACGGG
RNAcentral lists this ribosomal RNA (254 nucleotides) under uncultured bacterium. RNAcentral's name for it is "partial 16S ribosomal RNA". It matches the Rfam family "Bacterial small subunit ribosomal RNA", at positions 524 to 776 of the family's 1533-position model. The record is from RNAcentral.